Molecule: long non-coding RNA, 1946 nt
Organism: Callithrix jacchus (white-tufted-ear marmoset)
Lineage: Eukaryota; Metazoa; Chordata; Mammalia; Primates; Cebidae
Source: Ensembl
GCAUGGUGGCGCGUGUCUGUAAUCCCAGCUACUCAGAGGCUGAGGCAGGAGAAUUGCCUGAACCCAGGAGGCGGAGGUUGCGGUGAGCCAAGAUCGCACCAUUGCACUCCAGCCUGGGUAACAAAAGUGAAACUCUGUCUCAAAAAAAAAAAAAAAGAAAUGGCCUUCCCAACACCCUACACAGCGCAGUCAUUGGCCUGUGCAUAAACUUGGCCCUGUGCCCAGAAUGACCACAUUGACAUUUAGAAGAAUAUAUGGGGGAACAAGAUACAUGUCUCCACACCUCAUCAAGGAUAUAAGGGCCAAAAUAGGUUUAUUCUUCUAGACCCCAAACACACACACACACACACACACACACACACACACACAGAGCUGGGAAGCGUUUAUCAGUUAGGAGAAGUGCGAGGAAUGGAAAAGAAUGAGGAGAGGAAGGGGAAGGCAAGAGCUGAAUAAAUUGGCUUGUUAACAAAGGCUGGAGGAGAGAACAUUAGCAAGAAAAAGAAUGGGAGCUGGAGAGUCCCCAAGCACAGAAGCCGGGGAAAUGAAGGGACAAAUUCAGGAAGGAAUGGUAUUUAAAAUGUGUGCACAUCUGAGGAGCAGAAAAACCAAAAGGGUUCCUUUUACUUAUUGAAAGGCAUUUUAGUGUGGUUUAUGUGUAAUAUCAAAGAUUACUUAAUACUUCUCACAUUUAUAAGUGAUCUAUAAGGUCAUAUGUUUUAAAAUAGUAGUGAGUUAAACUUCACUCUUGAAUUCCUUAUAAUCUAAGUCAAACUGAGUUAUAAUUUAGGAUUGUCUUUAAAUAGCCAUUCAGAAAUAUAAAAUUAUAGAACUACUGUGUAUUUGUGAUUGGGAAUGGUGCUUUUGCCAACUUAAAAGGAUUAAAGUAGAGGAGAUAUACACAUAUUUUAAAAUUAUAUGUGACCAUAAGACUUAAGAUAAUUAAAAAGAAAACCACAGGAGGGAAAAAUACCUGGACAAAGGUUAGAAAAUUCAACGAGAUAACUCUAGUGGCUAUCACAAAGAAUAACCACUACUAAUCAUACAUAUGACUUGUAAGGGUAGCCGAGAGAAAGGAGAACAGACCCAGAGUCAGGCAUGAAAGUGUAUUAACCUGCCAGGCUGCUUAGAGGAGGCAGCAGGAGCUCUGAGCUUACAAAACGAGUGGUUUAUAUGGGGUGAGGGAGGCAAAAGGGGGUUUCAGGCAACAGGCACAGAGAUAGUUUGUUAGCUUGCAACUGACCUACAAUACAUCAUCCUGUGACUUUCGUGGCAGCAAUCUUUAAAAAAAGACCGAAAUCAGGAUUUUUUAUAGAUAUGUGUCAAACAGGAAUUUACGAGUAUGGAUAAUGAACAUAUGUUUUCCCUGUCCUCCCUUGAGCUGUCUGAAUGGCUGUAAUCAGGCUUUGCUUAAUUGCCACGUCUGGCAGCUUUGGUGCGGCGCCUAGGUAGGGGUUCAGGAGUGCAGCUGCAGAGCAGUCGGCAGGGGUGGAGUCAGCCUGUGCAGAGUGGGUUUUCUGAGGCAGGUCAGCUCCAUCCCUAACGUGACUUCUAGAAAGAGUAAAAUUUUUGGCUAUACAGUGAUGUAAACUUAAAAUCUAUCACCCCUAUUUUACUUCAACAAACUGAAACAAAUAUUUCUUUAGUGCUUAUUAUAUAAAAGGACCUGUCCUAUGUGUUGUGUGAGACAGGGAAAAAUGGCAAUUAUUUUUCAUUAAGAAACAGGGAAAAGGCCGGGUGCGGUGGUUCACGCCUGUAAUUCCAACACUUUGGGAGGUGGAGGUAGGCAGAUCACUUGAGGUCAGCAGUUCGAGACCAGUCUGGCCAACAUGGUGAAACUCUGCGUCUACUAAAAGUACUAAAAUUAGCCAGACGUGGUGGCAUGCAUCGGUAGUCUCAGCUACUUGGGUGGCUGAGGCAGGAGGAUUGCUUGAACCCAGGAGGUGGAG